GACGAACGCUGGCGGCGUGCCUAAUACAUGCAAGUAGAACGCUGAAGAGAGGAGCUUGCUCUUCUUGGAUGAGUUGCGAACGGGUGAGUAACGCGUAGGUAACCUGCCUUGUAGCGGGGGAUAACUAUUGGAAACGAUAGCUAAUACCGCAUAACAAUGGAUGACACAUGUCAUUUAUUUGAAAGGGGCAAUUGCUCCACUACAAGAUGGACCUGCGUUGUAUUAGCUAGUAGGUGAGGUAAUGGCUCACCUAGGCGACGAUACAUAGCCGACCUGAGAGGGUGAUCGGCCACACUGGGACUGAGACACGGCCCAGACUCCUACGGGAGGCAGCAGUAGGGAAUCGUCGGCAAUGGGGGCAACCCUGACCGAGCAACGCCGCGUGAGUGAAGAAGGAUUUCGGAUCGUAAAGCUCUGUUGUAAGUCAAGAACGGGUGUGAGAGUGGAAAGUUCACACUGUGACGGUAGCUUACCAGAAAGGGACGGCUAACUACGUG
This 497-nucleotide ribosomal RNA is filed under the name uncultured bacterium. RNAcentral describes it as "partial 16S ribosomal RNA". It matches the Rfam family "Bacterial small subunit ribosomal RNA", at positions 28 to 507 of the family's 1533-position model. The record is from RNAcentral.